UUACACAUGCAAGUCGAACGAUGAAGCUGGCGCUUGCUCCAGUGGAUUAGUGGCGAACGGGUGAGUAACACGUGAGCAAUCUGCCCUUGACUCUGGGAUAACUGCGGGAAACUGUAGCUAAUACCGGAUACGACACCUUGGGGCAUCCCGAGGUGUGGAAAGAAUUUCGGUCAAGGAUGAGCUCGCGGCCUAUCAGCUAGUUGGUGAGGUAAAGGCUCACCAAGGCGACGACGGGUAGCCGGCCUGAGAGGGUGACCGGCCACACUGGAACUGAGAUACGGUCCAGACUCCUACGGGAGGCAGCAGUGGGGAAUAUUGCACAAUGGGCGCAAGCCUGAUGCAGCAACGCCGCGUGAGGGAUGAAGGCCUUCGGGUUGUAAACCUCUUUUAGCAGGGAAGAAGCGAAAGUGACGGUACCUGCAGAAAAAGCACCGGCUAACUACGUGCCAGCAGCCGCGGUAAUACGUAGGGUGCAAGCGUUGUCCGGAAUUAUUGGGCGUAAAGAGCUCGUAGGCGGUUUGUCGCGUCUGCUGUGAAAAUCCAAGGCUCAACCUUGGACCUGCAGUGGGUACGGGCAGACUAGAGUGCGGUAGGGGAGAUGGGAAUUCCUGGUGUAGCGGUGGAAUGCGCAGAUAUCAGGAGGAACACCAAUGGCGAAGGCACAUCUCUGGGCCGUAACUGACGCUGAGGAGCGAAAGCGUGGGGAGCGAACAGGAUUAGAUACCCUGGUAGUCCACGCCGUAAACGGUGGGUGCUAGUUGUGGGCCACAUUCCACGUGGUCCGUGACGAAGUUAACACAUUAAGCACCCCGCCUGGGGAGUACGGUCGCAGGACUAAAACUCAAAGGAAUUGACGG
Molecule: ribosomal RNA, 857 nt
Filed under: uncultured bacterium
Lineage: Bacteria
Description: bacterial SSU rRNA
Rfam family: Bacterial small subunit ribosomal RNA
Source: RNAcentral